AGAUGUUAAGAAUCUGUUUCUUAACUUUUAACUAAAAAAGCUAAGAACCGGUUCUUAAAUAAGGACUUUAAGAGCCGGUUCUUAGCUUUUUUAAUUAAAAGUUAAGAAACAGUUUCUUAAUUUCC
This is a microRNA precursor of Brassica oleracea var. oleracea, 125 nucleotides long. It matches the Rfam family "MIR9563 microRNA precursor family". Lineage: Eukaryota; Viridiplantae; Streptophyta; Magnoliopsida; Brassicales; Brassicaceae. The record is from Rfam.